Molecule: non-coding RNA, 5245 nt
Organism: Microcebus murinus (gray mouse lemur)
Lineage: Eukaryota; Metazoa; Chordata; Mammalia; Primates; Cheirogaleidae
Source: RefSeq, a predicted model, not a curated record
AGGCACAGCAACGACCUUUAGAACCAAGAAGUCAAGGGGGUGGGGAGUGUCAUGUGAUGCAAGUGCAUAGGAAGCCGUCAGGUACACAGGACGCAUUUCAGUAACAUUUUACUAACGGGAGCCCGCCUUCCACGGGGAUCACAGGGUGCCACGCCCUGCUCAUGAUAGGAAACACUGAAUGUUAUCAUUUAUUAAUCAAAAAAUAGGCUGUUAGCUAGCUAGGAUACAGAUAUUGCAAACAGCCAGUUUGCCUAAAGGAUUUACUCUUUCAGGCAUAAAACCCUUCUCAUUACUUGGUACAGAGACGAGUAUAAAUUACGUUGCAAGUCAGUUUAUGCAAAUUAUUUUGCAUUUUCCUGCCUCCCAGCUCCUCCCUGAAGUAAAAAUACAUGCAAAACAGUCUCUUUUUUUAAUUUUAUUUUUUCCCCUUUGCUUUGUGCAAACUAACCACAUUAAAAUGCAAUAUUUCUAGAAUGACGUGGAAAGGUACGGUACCCCAGAAAGAAGUCAGCGUAUUUGAUGGGGUGUAAAAGGCUCUUUGUUCCGUGUGUUUGUUUGCCUACCUGCCUGCCUGCUUACCCGAGGAUGUGCCCGUCUGCCCAGUGCCAGCCAACCACUAAGCAGCCAUUUAAUCCUGCAUGACUCCUCCGCAUCUUGGCCACCUCGCGGGGAGGAACAAACGCCGAGGCAGUCAAAGCUUAGGUUUCCCAGCAACCUAUGACCUGGUAGGAAAAUGUGCACUGUGCCAAUCUGAUUCCCUCUGCCUGGAAUCCAGACUAAAAGCAAAGUAAGCAUUGCCAGUUAGCAAUGAAAACUGCAGCUGUAGGAUCAUGAGAAAGGCAGGACCAUGAAAACCUUAGCUGGCUGACCUGUAUGCAGGAUAAAGUUGGGCACUGGUGGGAGCUGGGGAAGCAGGGCUCAGGGAUUGGUUAGAAGCAAGAAGCAGUAUUCAGAGUGCAGCUGAGUCACUUGGGUGGGUGAAUGCUAGGAAGGUUGGCUGAAGAUCUCUAGACCCUGGCCCAGCACCACCCCACGACUGCCCCUGUGAUGUCAGUGUGUGCAGUGCCUUGCCCUGGAUCCAGGGAUUGGCAUGCCCCCCACCGCGACUGGUAUCCAUUCUACUUGAGUUAGACUUUGAGGAAAGGGGUAUCUCUGUUUUUGCAAGCAUAAGAGCUUUUUCCAAAACACUUAUCUAACAUCAGCAUUAGAGAAGCCUUGGCUCCAAAACACCAUGAAGGCACAGCUUGGGAAUAACAGUAAUUGAUAAAGAUGACAGCGUCCAGAUCAUACACAAACAUUAGCUCCACUGGACUCUGCACUCCUCAGAACCAGGGCACCUGCUUAGCAAAGGACAUCAACAAUUGAGGAGCCAUGAAGAGGAACUCAGUAAGUACAAUGAGGGCAUUAGAAACCAUCUCAUACAAGGACUGAAAACACAGGGUAUUUUUUACUUUGAAAGUAAAAACUAGGGAGACAGGGGAGAUGUUUUUUAUAUUUGUAGAGCUGCCACCUGGAGAUACAGCAGACUUGCAUCUUGUUCCUGCAAAGGCGAGAACUAGGAUUGGACAGAAGUUCUAAGGAGCUAGGUUUUAGCUCAGAGUUUCUUAACAAUGGAAUGUUUUGCUGCAAGGUAGGGAGUAUACAGCCUCUGGAGGGAUCCAAAUAGGGGCCAGUUGACCAGCUACCUUGUCCCAGGAGAUGGGAGUUUGGAGUAGUAGAGGGUCUCUGACAUUAUCUUCAGCACCACACACAAUGAGUUUUUCUAUAACGACUACACAUCAAUUAAGGCUGCAGAAAGAAGCUGAACAUUAAGCAGACCAUAAAAUAGAUAUUCCCUUCAUCUUUAGAAGACUUCAAGUGGCCCAGCAAGAAGGGGGUCGGUCAUGAGAUACCCCAGAUCCUCUGCUGCUGAGGAGACCAUGCUUCUCUGCAGGAGAAUGUUGUAGAGAGACCUCUUCUUACUGAGAUUAGCCUCUCAAAAGAGUAUCAUACACUUGUCACCUUUUAAGCAGAUGGAAAAUUCUGGAAAGGAACUUUAUUUUUUACGUCAGAGAAUUUUCCAAGGUAAAAACGGAUUCAACCCACUAGGUUGAAUACAGGCUAGGAAAGUACAAAAGAGCAGGCAAGCUGUUUCUCAAAGCUCUAACAAUGGUUUAGCACCACUUAUUCACUGGCCUUCAGUCCUACUGCCCAUGGAUCAUGCAAGUAAGUCCUGAUUACCUACAGAGACCACACACACCUCUAUGGUACAGCUAAAACAAACAAAAUAAAAACCAUUCUCUGUGUGUCCCUUUCUCUCUGUUGUGGUCACAUCCACUAUCCACACACUUCACAACUUGACAAAGGUCAUGGGGUAGGGAGAGAAAUCCCAGAAUGCUUCACUUAUACCAGGAUGCUUUCUGGAUUUACCAGUUAGGGUACGGCAUGGCAGAAAGCAACUUCUAGGAAUCUGCAGGUCAAAGCAUGACAGCCAAAUGACAAGUGAGUAAACCGUCACUCCCACUGAUGGCAGGAAUAGUCCAACUUAUUUUUUAAAAGGUCCUUUUCUUCUUAUUUUCAUACUAUGUCUUCCCACAGGACAGCAAUUCCAUUCCAGACACAGGGAAAUAGGAAAGUACCAGAAUACCUUCAAAUGAAAGUACUUAAAGGAUAUUUCUAUUGUCCUCAUUCAGGGUGUAAACUGAAGUCAUGUUAAACUAUUGUUAGAAACCAAAACCAGGGAGAGUGGCUUGCUUUUCGGUUAAACAUGAGCAGUCCCCUGUGAAGCACAGAAUGGUGCCCUGUGGAGCAUUCGGGCUUCCUUCCAUAACGAUGGUCAGGCACGCAGCCCAACCCGAGGUUAGGUGCCACCCAGGUAUCUACCCACAUCCCAGCCAUGGUGACUAGUCUGGCAGCAUUUCCCAGUGCCCACCCUCGCCCAGCUCUAAGCAGCCCUCCACUGCAGAGCUGUGCAUAGCGGCCGCUUUCCACUGCAAACAGAGCCUGCCACUGAGCCAUUUUCCCCUGCACUGCACACAGUUUCUGCUGCCAGGAUGAGUCACCAUGCAACACAUACCCUCAUCCCCUCCACUCUGUACUUAAAAUACUCUAGGGCUGGCCGCACAGAACCCCGCUGUGCAUGAGCACGUGUGCGAAGGUGGGAUUGGCAGCUCAGCCCUCUGGAGCCCUCUGCAGAGCAGACUGCAUUGUGUUGGUUCAGAAAGCCAAUGGCUGGGGAGGGGUGGGGUAGGGGGCGGUUAAGACUGGUUCUCCUUCCUGCAGCCUGCCAAGUUGCACCCUCUCUUUCGCAGGCACCUCCAUUUUAGCCUCUCUGAUGCAGAACAGAAGGCUCUUACUGCUGGGGGUUGAUUUGUCCUGCUUCUUCUCCUAGCUCAGCUUCCAACUGGCCAUCUUGCUACAAAACAGGAUGGCCUUGUCCUGCCUUUACCUGCCAGCCAGCCUCUGUCUCUGCCUCCAGGGUAGAUUCUGCUUCAAUCACAACAGUUUCUGGUUGUUUCCUGAGUUAGAACCAUUGUCUUUACUUGGACUGAGGUCCCCCCCAAGCCCCCUCUACUCUCUGCUGCCGUUCCUGCUGUCUGCUUCCCCUCUAGCUACCCACAUACAGAGCACUAACCUUGGACAGAACCAAUCACAGGACUCCAGAACCAUCCCUCUUCCCUAGCCUGUGUGGGGCAAGGGAUUAGGGGUUGUUCUUUUCACCCUGAGCCUUUAAACUGAGCUGAGGAAGUUAUUCCUCCUUCUUUCUGCAGAGAUUCACUGGACUUUCAAGGCGUUUAUUGAGCAGCUGUCUUAGUUCCCCAUGGCCCACACCCCCCUCCGCACCCAGCCGUGCACUCCACCUGCCAGGGGCACCCCUCCCUCUGGACAACCGCAGACUUUCCGCUUCCAACCUGCUGCUACAGCACUCUUUACAGAAGGGGCCUUGGAAUAAAAUCCCAGCCCAGCGCAGCCUAAAGGGACAUGGUGUGCUUGAGUUAUUCAUUACUUGAGUUAGAGGAGGUCACUGAGCAAUAAGCACACUGGAAAGGCAAGGGGAAAGGUGGCAUAGAGGGUGGGGAAUUUGGCAAGGUGGCCUUCUAGGGGCUGAUGGGAACUCGGAGUCCUGGCAGAGGGUGGGUAUCAGAAUGAGUAGAUGGCAAAGUCACAGCAACGGCAUCAAGGUUAGACAAGGUCAAAUGGAAACAGGCAACGGUAAUAAAGCUAGCUACUUAAUAGCUCUUGCUAUGCACAAGGCACUGUGCUUAACACUUUCUCACAUCUCCCCUUUAAUCCUUGCAACACUGUAUCCCUUCAAUUUUACAACUGAGGGAACAGCCCUGGAGAGAAUAAAUGACUUGCCCAAGGUCACAGCUAGCUGUUCUGAGGCUGGGAGUGUGAACACAAGUCUGUCUUGUUCUUCACCAGCUUGCUCUAUGCGGGGAGGUGGUUAGAUGGGUGGAACAAUUCCAGAUGGUCUAGAGUGGCCCUGCAGGUGGAAUUUGAGUAGCUUGCGGUGUGCACCGGACAAACACAUGCCCUUCCCAGUGACCUGUCCUGCUGGAAAGUCCUCCAUGAGACACUACAGGGGCAAAGCAGGAGGUGGCUUCCUUUCUCCACAAACUGCCCUCUCACCGCCCUUGACGGAGCCCUGCAGCAGUACCUCUGCGUCUCUGUGGAUGGUUGGCUGCUUCCCCCUGAAUUUCAGGAAAUUUCAAGUUUGUACAGGUCUUGCAGGAUGGGCCGCGUUGCCCCCCAGGGACGGGGCUUCUCUGCAGUGACUGCGGAAGCAUCCCUGCGUUUUCUGCUGUGUCACUGCCCUGAGAGGGGUGUGUGACGCUGCUCAGGGGCUCAGCAGAGGGGCCUGAAACCAAGAGUGUGGCUUUACAGCAACAGCACAUGAAUGACAGAAAAGCCCAGGACUGCCCGCGACGUCUCGCCCUGUGAGCUAGGUCUUCCCAAAGGGCCUGGAAGCGGUGGACCUGCAGCGGAGGGAGGCCCAGGGCGCGCGGGUGAGACCAGGCAGGGCUGGAGGGAGUGGGUCAGGACAUCCGGCCGGGCUCCCCAGGGCUCUGGGUGACUCAGGUGCAGGACACCCCACCACGGAAGGGGCGGCUGGCCCCAACGGCAGCGGGGAGGGCUGCGCCGCGCUGCCUGCGCGUUCGCCGCGGUUCCCUCCGCCCCUCUCCGCGCCCCCGCACUCCAGCCAGCCCCUCUCGCCUAGGCGGCUCCUUUGUGCCGGCCCCGCGCCCGCCCCUUCGGGCCCGAG